RNAcentral lists this ribosomal RNA (350 nucleotides) under uncultured Bacillus sp. Its description in RNAcentral is "bacterial SSU rRNA". It matches the Rfam family "Bacterial small subunit ribosomal RNA", at positions 568 to 916 of the family's 1533-position model. The record is from RNAcentral. Lineage: Bacteria; Bacillati; Bacillota; Bacilli; Caryophanales; Bacillaceae.
CGCGCAGGUGGUUUCUUAAGUCUGAUGUGAAAGCCCACGGCUCAACCGUGGAGGGUCAUUGGAAACUGGGAGACUUGAGUGCAGAAGAGGAAAGUGGAAUUCCAUGUGUAGCGGUGAAAUGCGUAGAGAUAUGGAGGAACACCAGUGGCGAAGGCGACUUUCUGGUCUGUAACUGACACUGAGGCGCGAAAGCGUGGGGAGCAAACAGGAUUAGAUACCCCUGGUAGUCCACGCCGUAAACGAUGAGUGCUAAGUGUUAGAGGGUUUCCGCCCUUUAGUGCUGAAGUUAACGCAUUAAGCACUCCGCCUGGGGAGUACGGCCGCAAGGCUGAAACUCAAAGAAUUGACGG